RNAcentral lists this ribosomal RNA (492 nucleotides) under uncultured bacterium. RNAcentral describes it as "partial 16S ribosomal RNA". It matches the Rfam family "Bacterial small subunit ribosomal RNA", at positions 29 to 507 of the family's 1533-position model. The record is from RNAcentral.
AGUGAACGCUGGCGGUAGGCCUAACACAUGCAAGUCGAACGGCAGCACAGUAAGAGCUUGCUCUUACGGGUGGCGAGUGGCGGACGGGUGAGGAAUACAUCGGAAUCUACUUUUUCGUGGGGGAUAACGUAGGGAAACUUACGCUAAUACCGCAUACGACCUACGGGUGAAAGCAGGGGAUCUUCGGACCUUGCGCGAUUGAAUGAGCCGAUGUCGGAUUAGCUAGUUGGCGGGGUAAAGGCCCACCAAGGCGACGAUCCGUAGCUGGUCUGAGAGGAUGAUAAGCCACACGGGAACUGAGACACGGUCAAGACUCCUACGGGAGGCAGCAGUGGGGAAUAUUGGACAAUGGGCGCAAGCCUGAUCCAGCCAUACCGCGUGGGUGAAGAAGGCCUUCGGGUUGUAAAGACCUUUUGUUGGGAAAGAAAAGCAGCAGGUUAAUACCACGCUGUUCUGACGGUACCCAAAGAAUAAGCACCGGCUAACUUCGUG